This 465-nucleotide ribosomal RNA is filed under the name Vreelandella stevensii. RNAcentral's name for it is "partial 16S ribosomal RNA". It matches the Rfam family "Bacterial small subunit ribosomal RNA", at positions 338 to 795 of the family's 1533-position model. The record is from RNAcentral. Lineage: Bacteria; Pseudomonadati; Pseudomonadota; Gammaproteobacteria; Oceanospirillales; Halomonadaceae.
CCUACGGGAGGCUGCAGUGGGGAAUAUUGGACAAUGGGGGUAACCCUGAUCCAGCCAUGCCGCGUGUGUGAAGAAGGCCCUCGGGUUGUAAAGCACUUUCAGUGAGGAAGAACGCCUGGUGGUUAAUACCCAUCAGGAAAGACAUCACUCACAGAAGAAGCACCGGCUAACUCCGUGCCAGCAGCCGCGGUAAUACGGAGGGUGCGAGCGUUAAUCGGAAUUACUGGGCGUAAAGCGCGCGUAGGUGGCUUGAUAAGCCGGUUGUGAAAGCCCCGGGCUCAACCUGGGAACGGCAUCCGGAACUGUCAAGCUAGAGUGCAGGAGAGGAAGGUAGAAUUCCCGGUGUAGCGGUGAAAUGCGUAGAGAUCGGGAGGAAUACCAGUGGCGAAGGCGGCCUUCUGGACUGACACUGACACUGAGGUGCGAAAGCGUGGGUAGCAAACAGGAUUAGAUACCCUGGUAGUC